Molecule: long non-coding RNA, 2892 nt
Filed under: Apis mellifera (honey bee)
Lineage: Eukaryota; Metazoa; Arthropoda; Insecta; Hymenoptera; Apidae
Description: uncharacterized LOC100578474
Source: RNAcentral
UCUAUAUUGUUCCGAUUUAAUCCAUCAAAGAAUUGAUUGACAAAUUAAAACGAAGAAUUUAGAUACGUAAGUUUUUAUUAAUUAGACGAUACAAAGUGAAAUAUCUGAAUGAUAAGAUACAAUCUAUCGACAGUAUUGAUAAAUAAACUAUUGAUUUCAUCGAUGAUGAAAUGUUUCGAGAAUGUUAGUGCCAUUUUCUACAAGUUUUAAAACAAUUCCUUUAAAACAAUUAAUCAAAUCAAAUCAAAUAUUUAAAUUAACUAAAAUUAGACGAAUCUACCGAUAUAUCGUUUCGAUGUUCAACGAUUCAAUGCAUCUUUGAAAAAAUAUCCUUGAAACUUAUAUACAUCUUAACAUCAUACGUGUUGAAAAUCUCGAAAAAUUUCUCAAGCGUAUGAACAGAGCUUAAAUAACGAUCUCGAUAAACUCGUUCUCCCUUUUUCAUCAUUUCCAACUCAUCGACAUUUCCCCCUGUCCAAAUUCUCUCGUCCUUAACAUUUAAUCCAUCCAUACAUGGAAAAUUGAAACGAGGACAACUCGGAACUACGAACUUUUAACCACGAUUCGGACAGGACAAGUUCCAAGUUCGAGUUAAAUAAUUAUCUUCGAAUCGUUUAGAGAAUCGUAUCUUGGUCGAACAUUGACUCGAUUCAAUAUUCAAAGCGAUCGUUGAAACGCGUGCUCGAUAUCGCGGUAAUACCCGGGGAGUGUGAACAAAGCCUAAACGGGUUGGGGCAAACGCGUCAGGCGGGCGGACAGGCGGGUAGACAGGCAGACAGACAGAAGCUGGAGCACCUGUCUGUCCCUCCACUCUUCUUGCACGGCAAAGAGGGGCCGGCAGUGGAUACCUCGUGCCGUGGUUCAGUACCUCGUGCACGCUCACGCUGAUAAGACCUUAUUCUAAUCACACGUCACCUGGUAUCGAUAGUCGUGCGCGGAUCUAUUACGUGAUUUCUCACGCCCCGUUACGACCUAAUUCCUUCGUGGUCCUUCGACCGAUCUCCAAUAUCCGCACGCGUUUCUCCUUGUCCUCUCUCUCUCUCUCUCUAUCUCUCUUUCUCUUCCUCCUCUUUCCUUCUCUUCCCUUUCUCUUUCUCUCUCUCUGUCCCCCUUCUAUCCCACUCCGUUUCGCGUGCAUCAUACCCACACUGGUGGUCCUCCACCUCGAUGCAGAGGAUCGCACAGCCCGAUCCAGGAAUUUUUCCGGAUCGGUCAAUCGAACGUUCAGUGGUCGGCUCGCCUCCCCUAGCUCGCUUCUUGCUCCUUCGAAUGCGUAAUACGUAAUUAUCUCGAGGCUCUCCCUCCCUCCCUCCUUCCCUCUCCCCCCCUCCCACCCCCUUGUCCCGAUAGUCACGUACGAUAGGUACGUACGUAUCACGGGGUUGGGUCGGGUUGGCGGUUGCACAAGCGGAAGAAGGAGGAAAAGGAGGCACGGGAUGCACCGUGGAGGAGAUGUAUUCACGUCCCACACCGGCUCGAUAUCGAAUUCGAUGCAGGGCAGAGAGUUGCGCAGCAGCGAAGGUGGGAUCCGAGGUGCCGAGCCGAUUUCUCAAUUCCUCGUACUCGUGGAUUCGUACUGGUGGAUUCGUACCGGGAUCGCGGCACUGCGUGUUUCCGCGGCGGCGAAUGGAUUGGGAAUCGAUUCUGCUCCCUGUAUCGUUUAGUCUGCUUCCGACGUUCGAGUACUAAAGUCGUUGUUGCCGCUCUCGUCGGUCGCGCCGCGUAAAUACGAUCGGCCACGUGUUCGCCGCGUUCGCUCUUCACUCGUGCCCCUCCUCCCCCCUCCCCCCGCCCCGCCCCUCCCGCCCCGUCCCCCCUCCGUCCCGUACCCGUGCGAGGAGAGAGAGAGAGAGAACAUUCGAUCGUCGAUUAGAAACGAACGUGGUGGCGCGAUUCGCUACGCCCGUUUUUCUCGCUUUAUCGUCCACCACGUGCAAAUGCCGGUGGACGUCAUCGAGGAAGGCUGUUGCACCCGUCGUCCAUCGAAGGUCGGAUAUCGACGAUCUUACGUACGCCGGCACGGUGGAGAAAUUAGGUGAACCGCUCGAGCGAGAAUUUUUUUUCCCCUCCAUUGUAACAAUGUAAGAAGGCAAGUGGCGCGGGGAUCGUGUAAGUUCACGUGUAUCGUUGGAGGAAAGGAAUCGUUGGUCCGCGGCGAAGAAUUUCUGGUGUUACGUAACGGAGAAAUAGAACGAACGAUAGAUCAACGCGUGUUGAUCGGGUGACGACGUUUUCUUUUUUUUCUCUUUUCUUUUCUUUUCUUUUUUUUUUGUCUCCCUUUCCUCCCCUCGUUCGAUAAGGGAAUCGACCACGUGUCGAUUCGUUUUAUAAUUCGUGAUUUAUAAGUGCGAUGUUUAUUAUAAGUUGGACUCGAUAAAUAUACGAGUUCCGCGAAAAGAAUCUUCCAGUGAAAGCGAGAUCAGCGCUAAGUGUUUGUGAAAUCGUGAAACUGCGAAACCAACCACGUGUGUGACAUCUAUUACCAAGGUGAAUCGUAAAAUCGUAAAACCGUGCCUUUUGUUUCUUGUUCUGGUGAGGAGCGAGGCGACGAUUUCUCGACACGCGAAGCGCGGGUUUUCGUAGGAAUCCUCGUUUCAUCGAUCUCCACAGAGGGAGACCCAGUUACGCCUCCUGUUGAAUGCAAUUUAUCGGAUUAAAGGGGAGCUCCACAUGAAAUUGCCAUCAGCCACCAGGGAAUGUUAACACGGUGUAAGAAGAGGAGAAGGAAGAAGCAGGCAUUCAGGAGAAUUUAUCUCCAACGCGGAACCAACAACACGUGGUGUGCUUGUGCGGUACAUAGACACGCAGCGUGGCCGCACACACGAUAAGGCUGAUUUCGUUGUCCUCGAGGGAAGAAUGAAAAGGAGACGAAGAAGGAGCCGGAGAAAACGA